Molecule: ribosomal RNA, 535 nt
Filed under: Streptococcus sp. W45
Lineage: Bacteria; Bacillati; Bacillota; Bacilli; Lactobacillales; Streptococcaceae
Description: bacterial SSU rRNA
Rfam family: Bacterial small subunit ribosomal RNA
Source: RNAcentral
AGAGUUUGAUCCUGGCUCAGGACGAACGCUGGCGGCGUGCCUAAUACAUGCAAGUAGAACGCUGAAGACUUUAGCUUGCUAGAGUUGGAAGAGUUGCGAACGGGUGAGUAACGCGUAGGUAACCUGCCUACUAGCGGGGGAUAACUAUUGGAAACGAUAGCUAAUACCGCAUAACAGUGUUUAACACAUGUUAGAUGCUUGAAAGAUGCAAUUGCAUCACUAGUAGAUGGACCUGCGUUGUAUUAGCUAGUUGGUGGGGUAACGGCCUACCAAGGCGACGAUACAUAGCCGACCUGAGAGGGUGAUCGGCCACACUGGGACUGAGACACGGCCCAGACUCCUACGGGAGGCAGCAGUAGGGAAUCUUCGGCAAUGGGGGCAACCUGACCGAGCAACGCCGCGUGAGUUGAAAGAAGGUUUUCGGAUCGUAAAUCUCUGUUGUAAGAGAAGAACGUGUGUUAUAGUGGAAAGUUCACACAGUGACGGUAACUUACCAGAAAGGGACGGCUAACUACGUGCCAGCAGCCGCGGUAAU